This 31-nucleotide non-coding RNA is filed under the name Rattus norvegicus (Norway rat). Lineage: Eukaryota; Metazoa; Chordata; Mammalia; Rodentia; Muridae. The record is from RNAcentral.
UAAAGUCUUGAACUGGAAUCGACUAUUGCCU